RNAcentral lists this ribosomal RNA (515 nucleotides) under uncultured bacterium. RNAcentral's name for it is "partial 16S ribosomal RNA". It matches the Rfam family "Bacterial small subunit ribosomal RNA", at positions 28 to 523 of the family's 1533-position model. The record is from RNAcentral.
GAUGAGCGCUGGCGGCGUGCCUAAUACAUGCAAGUCGAGCGAAUGGAUUGAGAGCUUGCUCUUAUGAAGUUAGCGGCGGACGGGUGAGUAACACGUGGGUAACCUGCCCAUAAGACUGGGAUAACUCCGGGAAACCGGGGCUAAUACCGGAUAACAUUUUGAACCGCAUGGUUCGAAAUUGAAAGGCGGCUUCGGCUGUCACUUAUGGAUGGACCCGCGUCGCAUUAGCUAGUUGGUGAGGUAACGGCUCUCCAAGGCAACGAUGCGUAGCCGACCUGGGAGGGCGACCGGCACCACUGGGACUGAGACACGGCCCAGACUCCUACGGGAGGCAGCAGUAGGGAAUCUUCCGCAAUGGACGAAAGUCUGACGGAGCAACGCCGCGUGAGUGAUGAAGGCUUUCGGGUCGUAAAACUCUGUUGUUAGGGAAGAACAAGUGCUAGUUGAAUAAGCUGGCACCUUGACGGUACCUAACCAGAAAGCCACGGCUAACUACGUGCCAGCAGCCGCCGUAA